This 694-nucleotide ribosomal RNA is filed under the name Streptomyces sp. A23MCC. Its description in RNAcentral is "bacterial SSU rRNA". It matches the Rfam family "Bacterial small subunit ribosomal RNA", at positions 112 to 822 of the family's 1533-position model. Lineage: Bacteria; Bacillati; Actinomycetota; Actinomycetes; Kitasatosporales; Streptomycetaceae. The record is from RNAcentral.
WACACGUGGGCAAUCUGCCCUUCCUCUGGGACAAGCCCUGGAAACGGGGUCUAAUACCGGAUAAUACUUCCACUCGCAUGGGUGGGGGUUAAAAGCUCCGGCGGUGAAGGAUGAGCCCGCGGCCUAUCAGCUUGUUGGUGAGGUAAUGGCUCACCAAGGCGACGACGGGUAGCCGGCCUGAGAGGGCGACCGGCCACACUGGGACUGAGACACGGCCCAGACUCCUACGGGAGGCAGCAGUGGGGAAUAUUGCACAAUGGGCGAAAGCCUGAUGCAGCGACGCCGCGUGAGGGAUGACGGCCUUCGGGUUGUAAACCUCUUUCAGCAGGGAAGAAGCGAAAGUGACGGUACCUGCAGAAGAAGCGCCGGCUAACUACGUGCCAGCAGCCGCGGUAAUACGUAGGGCGCAAGCGUUGUCCGGAAUUAUUGGGCGUAAAGAGCUCGUAGGCGGUCUGUCGCGUCGGAUGUGAAAGCCCGGGGCUUAACCCCGGGUCUGCAUUCGAUACGGGCAGACUAGAGUGUGGUAGGGGAGAUCGGAAUUCCUGGUGUAGCGGUGAAAUGCGCAGAUAUCAGGAGGAACACCGGUGGCGAAGGCGGAUCUCUGGGCCAUUACUGACGCUGAGGAGCGAAAGCGUGGGGAGCGAACAGGAUUAGAUACCCUGGUAGUCCACGCCGUAAACGGUGGAACUAGGUG